Molecule: ribosomal RNA, 475 nt
Filed under: Enterobacter hormaechei subsp. steigerwaltii
Lineage: Bacteria; Pseudomonadati; Pseudomonadota; Gammaproteobacteria; Enterobacterales; Enterobacteriaceae
Description: partial 23S ribosomal RNA
Rfam family: Bacterial large subunit ribosomal RNA
Source: RNAcentral
UGGUGGGUAGUUUGACUGGGGCGGUCUCCUCCCAAAGAGUAACGGAGGAGCACGAAGGUUGGCUAAUCCUGGUCGGACAUCAGGAGGUUAGUGCAAUGGCAUAAGCCAGCUUGACUGCGAGCGUGACGGCGCGAGCAGGUGCGAAAGCAGGUCAUAGUGAUCCGGUGGUUCUGAAUGGAAGGGCCAUCGCUCAACGGAUAAAAGGUACUCCGGGGAUAACAGGCUGAUACCGCCCAAGAGUUCAUAUCGACGGCGGUGUUUGGCACCUCGAUGUCGGCUCAUCACAUCCUGGGGCUGAAGUAGGUCCCAAGGGUAUGGCUGUUCGCCAUUUAAAGUGGUACGCGAGCUGGGUUUAGAACGUCGUGAGACAGUUCGGUCCCUAUCUGCCGUGGGCGCUGGAGAAUUGAGGGGGGCUGCUCCUAGUACGAGAGGACCGGAGUGGACGCAUCACUGGUGUUCGGGUUGUCAUGCCAAU